Molecule: ribosomal RNA, 489 nt
Filed under: uncultured bacterium
Lineage: Bacteria
Description: partial 16S ribosomal RNA
Rfam family: Bacterial small subunit ribosomal RNA
Source: RNAcentral
GAUGAACGCUAGCGAUAGGCUUAACACAUGCAAGUCGAGGGGCAGCAUGGUCUUAGCUUGCUAAGACUGAUGGCGACCGGCGCACGGGUGCGUAACGCGUAUGCAACUUGCCUCACAGAGGGGGAUAACCCGUCGAAAGACGGACUAAUACCGCGUACACUUGGGAUAGGGCAUCCUGACCCAAGGAAAUGAAAUUCGCUGUGAGAUAGGCAUGCGUCCCAUUAGCUAGUUGGUGAGGUAACGGCUCACCAAGGCGACGAUGGGUAGGGGAACUGAGAGGUUGAACCCCCACACUGGUACUGAGACACGGACCAGACUCCUACGGGAGGCAGCAGUGAGGAAUAGUGGUCAAUGGGCGAGAGCCUGAACCAGCCAAGUCGCGUGAAGGAUGACUGUCUUAUGGAUUGUAAACUUCUUUUAUACGGGAAUAACAAGAGCCACGUGUGGCUCCCUGCAUGUACCGUAUGAAUAAGCAUCGGCUAACUCCGU